RNAcentral lists this ribosomal RNA (253 nucleotides) under uncultured bacterium. Its description in RNAcentral is "partial 16S ribosomal RNA". It matches the Rfam family "Bacterial small subunit ribosomal RNA", at positions 524 to 776 of the family's 1533-position model. The record is from RNAcentral.
UACAAAGGGGGCAAGCGUUGUUCGGAAUUACUGGGCGUAAAGGGCGCGUAGGCGGCCUGCUAAGUCGAACGUGAAAUCCCUGGGCUUAACCCAGGAACUGCGUCCGAUACUGGCAGGCUUGAAUCCGGGAGAGGGAUGCGGAAUUCCAGGUGUAGCGGUGAAAUGCGUAGAUAUCUGGAGGAACACCGGUGGCGAAGGCGGCAUCCUGGACCGGCAUUGACGCUGAGGCGCGAAAGCCAGGGGAGCAAACGGG